Molecule: ribosomal RNA, 446 nt
Filed under: uncultured bacterium
Lineage: Bacteria
Description: partial 16S ribosomal RNA
Rfam family: Bacterial small subunit ribosomal RNA
Source: RNAcentral
GUAAGGAAUAUUGGUCAAUGGGGGCAACCCUGAACCAGCCAUGCCGCGUGAAGGAUGAAGGCGUUAUGCGUUGUAAACUUCUUUUGUAUGGGAAGAAUGACAGGGAUUUAUCCUUGGAGAGACGGUACCAUACGAAUAAGCACCGGCUAACUCCGUGCCAGCAGCCGCGGUAAUACGGAGGGUGCAAGCGUUAUCCGGAAUCAGUGGGUUUAAGGGGUACGUAGGCGGUUAAUUAAGUCAGUAGUGAAAGAAUGUCGGUCCACGACGGAUGUGCUAUUGAUACUGGUUAACUUGAAUCAGGUUAGAGUUGGCGGAAUGGGUCAUGUAGCGGUGAAAUGCUUAGAUAUGACUUGGAACACCGAUAGCGAAGGCAGCUGACUGAGCCUUGAUUGACGCUGAGGUACGAAAGUGUGGGUAGCGAACAGGAUUAGAAACCCCUGUAGUCC